This 429-nucleotide ribosomal RNA is filed under the name Bacteroidota bacterium. RNAcentral's name for it is "Bacteroidetes bacterium partial 16S ribosomal RNA". It matches the Rfam family "Bacterial small subunit ribosomal RNA", at positions 355 to 776 of the family's 1533-position model. The record is from RNAcentral. Lineage: Bacteria; Pseudomonadati; Bacteroidota.
UAGGGAAUCUUCGGCAAUGGGGGGAACCCUGACUGAGCAACGCCGCGUGAGUGAAGAAGGUUUUCGGAUCGUAAAGCUCUGUUGUUAAGGAAGAACGAGUGUGAGAAUGGAAAGUUCAUACUGUGACGGUACUUAACCAGAAAGGGACGGCUAACUACGUGCCAGCAGCCGCGGUAAUACGUAGGUCCCGAGCGUUGUCCGGAUUUAUUGGGCGUAAAGCGAGCGCAGGCGGUUAGAUAAGUCUGAAGUUAAAGGCAGUGGCUCAACCAUUGUAGGCUUUGGAAACUGUUUAACUUGAGUGCAGAAGGGGAGAGUGGAAUCCCAUGUGUAGCGGUGAAAUGCGUAGAUAUAUGGAGGAACACCGGUGGCGAAAGCGGCUCUCUGGUCUGUAACUGACGCUGAGGCUCGAAAGCGUGGGGAGCGAACAGG